UACGUAGGGGGCGAGCGUUGUCCGGAAUUACUGGGCGUAAAGGGUGCGUAGGCGGCCCUUUAAGUCGGAUGUGAAAGCCCGCGGCUUAACCGCGGAAUGGCAUUCGAAACUGGAGGGCUUGAGUGUCGGAGAGGGUAGUGGAAUUCCCAGUGUAGCGGUGAAAUGCGUAGAUAUUGGGAGGAACACCAGUGGCGAAGGCGACUACCUGGACGAUAACUGACGCUGAGGCA
Molecule: ribosomal RNA, 230 nt
Filed under: uncultured microorganism
Description: partial 16S ribosomal RNA
Rfam family: Bacterial small subunit ribosomal RNA
Source: RNAcentral